Molecule: microRNA precursor, 136 nt
Filed under: Hordeum vulgare
Lineage: Eukaryota; Viridiplantae; Streptophyta; Magnoliopsida; Poales; Poaceae
Description: microRNA MIR1122
Rfam family: MIR1120/MIR1122 microRNA precursor family
Source: RNAcentral
CUAGUAUUCCCUCCGUUCUAAAAUUUUUGUCUUAAAUUUGUCUAGAUAUGAAUGUAUCUAGUGACAUUUUAAUAUUUUGAUACAUUCAUUUCUAGAAAAAUCUAAGACAAAAUUUUUAAGACGGAGGGAGUACUUA